CCUACGGGGUGCAGCAGUGGGGAAUAUUGGACAAUGGGCGAAAGCCUGAUCCAGCCAUGCCGCGUGUGUGAAGAAGGCCUUCGGGUUGUAUAGCACUUUCAGUGGGGAAGAAAGCCUUGGGGCUAAUACCCUCGAGGAAGGACAUCACCCACAGAAGAAGCACCGGCUAACUCCGUGCCAGCAGCCGCGGUAAUACGGAGGGUGCGAGCGUUAAUCGGAAUUACUGGGCGUAAAGCGCGCGUAGGCGGUCUGAUAAGCCGGUUGUGAAAGCCCCGGGCUCAACCUGGGAACGGCAUCCGGAACUGUCAGGCUAGAGUGCAGGAGAGGAAGGUAGAAUUCCCGGUGUAGCAGUGAAAUGCGUAGAGAUCGGGAGGAAUACCAGUGGCGAAGGCGGCCUUCUGGACUGACACUGACGCUGAGGUGCGAAAGCGUGGGUAGCAAACAGGAUUAGAUACCCUAGUAGUC
RNAcentral lists this ribosomal RNA (465 nucleotides) under Vreelandella stevensii. RNAcentral describes it as "partial 16S ribosomal RNA". It matches the Rfam family "Bacterial small subunit ribosomal RNA", at positions 338 to 795 of the family's 1533-position model. The record is from RNAcentral. Lineage: Bacteria; Pseudomonadati; Pseudomonadota; Gammaproteobacteria; Oceanospirillales; Halomonadaceae.